RNAcentral lists this ribosomal RNA (467 nucleotides) under uncultured bacterium. Its description in RNAcentral is "partial 16S ribosomal RNA". It matches the Rfam family "Bacterial small subunit ribosomal RNA", at positions 29 to 507 of the family's 1533-position model. The record is from RNAcentral.
ACGAACGCUGGCGGCGUGCUUAACACAUGCAAGUCGAACGGAAAGGCCCUGCUUUUGUGGGGUGCUCGAGUGGCGAACGGGUGAGUAACACGUGAGUAACCUGCCCUUGACUUUGGGAUAACUUCAGGAAACUGGGGCUAAUACCGGAUAGGAGCUCCUGCUGCAUGGUGGGGGUUGGAAAGUUUCGGCGGUUGGGGAUGGACGCGCGGCUUAUCAGCUUGUUGGUGGGGUAGUGGCUUACCAAGGCUUUGACGGGUAGCCGGCCUGAGAGGGUGACCGGCCACAUUGGGACUGAGAUACGGCCCAGACUCCUACGGGAGGCAGCAGUGGGGAAUAUUGCACAAUGGGCGGAAGCCUGAUGCAGCAACGCCGCGUGCGGGAUGACGGCCUUCGGGUUGUAAACCGCUUUCGCCUGUGACGAAGCGUGAGUGACGGUAAUGGGUAAAGAAGCACCGGCUAACUACGUG